UUAACUCACACCCAUAAGCGCCAGGGAACUACGAGCCAUGCUUAAAACCCAAAGGAUUUGACGGUGUCCCACCCCCCUAGAGGAGCCUGUUCUAUAAUCGAUGAUCCCCGAUACACCCGACCACCCCUUGCCCAUCAGUCUGUAUACCUCCGUCGAAAGCUUACCAUGUGAACGUCUACAGUAGGUUCAAGGACCCGCAUUAGCGCGUCAAUACGUCAGGUCAAGGUGCAACUUAAGGAGUGGGAAGUAAUUGGCUACAAUUUCUAAUCUAGAACAAACGAAAGACUGUGUGAAACCACAGUCACGAAGGCGGAUUUAGUAGUAAAAAGAAAAUAGAGAGUUCUUUUUAACCCGGCUCUGGUACGCGUACACACCGCCCGUCACCCUCUUCGAUAGUGCUAUUACCACGAUCCCUAACCCGUUUCUACGUCUUAGAAGAGGCAAGUCGUAACAUGGUAAGUAUACUGGAAGGUGUACUUGGAAUAUAACAAAAUGUAGCUUAACAAAAGCCCCCCGCUUACACCGAGAAGUUAUCUGUUCGACCCAGAUCAUUUUGAGCCUAAAAUCUAGCCCACACAAUCCUCAUGAUAUUACCAAACUACUGUAAAAAAUAAAACAUUUUAACAUCUUAGUAUAGGCGAUAGAAAAAUUACUAAGCGCUUUAGAUAAAGUACCGCAAGGGAAACAUGAAAUAGAAAUGAAACAAUAUUACAGCCACAAACAGCAGAGAC
Molecule: ribosomal RNA, 731 nt
Filed under: Odorrana schmackeri (piebald odorous frog)
Lineage: Eukaryota; Metazoa; Chordata; Amphibia; Anura; Ranidae
Description: partial 12S ribosomal RNA
Rfam family: Bacterial small subunit ribosomal RNA (bases 1-493)
Source: RNAcentral